CCUACGGGCGGCAGCAGUGAGGAAUAUUGGUCAAUGGACGAGAGUCUGAACCAGCCAAGUAGCGUGAAGGAUGACUGCCCUAUGGGUUGUAAACUUCUUUUAUAUGGGAAUAAAAUGUUCCACGUGUGGGAUUUUGUAUGUACCAUAUGAAUAAGGAUCGGCUAACUCCGUGCCAGCAGCCGCGGUAAUACGGAGGAUCCGAGCGUUAUCCGGAUUUAUUGGGUUUAAAGGGAGCGUAGGUGGAUUGUUAAGUCAGUUGUGAAAGUUUGCGGCUCAACCGUAAAAUUGCAGUUGAAACUGGCAGUCUUGAGUACAGUAGAGGUGGGCGGAAUUCGUGGUGUAGCGGUGAAAUGCUUAGAUAGCACGAAGAACUCCGAUUGCGAAGGCAGUUCACUGGACUGCAACUGACACUGAGGCUCGAAAGUGUGGGUAUCAAACAGGAUUAGAUACCCUUGUAGUC
RNAcentral lists this ribosomal RNA (460 nucleotides) under uncultured bacterium. Its description in RNAcentral is "partial 16S ribosomal RNA". It matches the Rfam family "Bacterial small subunit ribosomal RNA", at positions 338 to 795 of the family's 1533-position model. The record is from RNAcentral.